AAAACUUUCAACAACGGAUCUCUUGGUUCUGGCAUCGAUGAAGAACGCAGCGAAAUGCGAUAAGUAGUGUGAAUUGCAGAAUUCAGUGAAUCAUCGAAUCUUUGAACGCACAUUGCGCCCUUUGGUAUUCCUUAGGGCAUGCCUGUUCGAGCGUCAUUUAAACCUUCAAGCUAAGCUUGGUGUUGGGUGACUGUCCGCUUCACUGCGGUCUCGCCUCAAAAUUAUUGGCGGCCGGUACAUUGGCUUCGAGCGCAGCAGAAACGCGAACUCGGGCCCGUCGUAUUGGCUCCCAGAAGCUAUCUCACAAUUUUGACCUCGGAUCAGGUAGG
RNAcentral lists this ribosomal RNA (329 nucleotides) under Sporormiella sp. NO304b. RNAcentral's name for it is "eukaryotic LSU rRNA". The stretch from base 3 to 156 matches the Rfam family "5.8S ribosomal RNA". RNAcentral also lists the same sequence under 1 other name. The record is from RNAcentral. Lineage: Eukaryota; Fungi; Ascomycota; Dothideomycetes; Pleosporales; Sporormiaceae.